AACAUUAUGGUUUGGCUCAAAAUAAGUAUGUAAACUAAGUAAAACAAGUACAGAAACAAUGUUACAUAACUACAGAAAACACGUCACAAAC
Molecule: long non-coding RNA, 91 nt
Organism: Sebastes umbrosus (honeycomb rockfish)
Lineage: Eukaryota; Metazoa; Chordata; Actinopteri; Perciformes; Sebastidae
Exons: 3
Source: RefSeq, a predicted model, not a curated record